ACUCCUACGGGAGGCAGCAGUGGGGAAUAUUGCACAAUGGGCGCAAGCCUGAUGCAGCCAUGCCGCGUGUGUGAAGAAGGCCUUCGGGUUGUAAAGCACUUUCAGUCGUGAGGAAGGUAGUGUAGUUAAUAGCUGCAUUAUUUGACGUUAGCGACAGAAGAAGCACCGGCUAACUCCGUGCCAGCAGCCGCGGUAAUACGGAGGGUGCGAGCGUUAAUCGGAAUUACUGGGCGUAAAGCGCAUGCAGGUGGUUUGUUAAGUCAGAUGUGAAAGCCCGGGGCUCAACCUCGGAAUAGCAUUUGAAACUGGCAGACUAGAGUACUGUAGAGGGGGGUAGAAUUUCAGGUGUAGCGGUGAAAUGCGUAGAGAUCUGAAGGAAUACCAGUGGCGAAGGCGGCCCCCUGGACAAAGACUGACGCUCAGAUGCGAAAGCGUGGGGAGCAAACAGGAUUAGAUACCCUGGUAGGAUAGCG
RNAcentral lists this ribosomal RNA (473 nucleotides) under uncultured bacterium. RNAcentral's name for it is "bacterial SSU rRNA". It matches the Rfam family "Bacterial small subunit ribosomal RNA", at positions 335 to 799 of the family's 1533-position model. The record is from RNAcentral.